UUAGAGUUUGAUCAUGGCUCAGGACGAACGCUGGCGGCGUGCCUAAUACAUGCAAGUCGAACGCGUCAUGGUUAAUGAUGUUAGGUGCUUGCAUUUAACUGAUUUAACAUUGAGAUGAGUGGCGAACUGGUGAGUAACACGUGGGUAACCUGCCCUGAAGUGGGGGAUAACACUUGGAAACAGGUGCUAAUACCGCAUAACAACGAAAACCACAUGGUUUUCGUUUGAAAGAUGGCUUCGGCUGUCACUUUUGGAUGGACCCGCGGCGUAUUAGCUUGUUGGUGAGGUAACGGCUCACCAAGGCCAUGAUACGUAGCCGACCUGAGAGGGUAAUCGGCCACAUUGGGACUGAGACACGGCCCAAACUCCUACGGGAGGCAGCAGUAGGGAAUCUUCCACAAUGGACGAAAGUCUGAUGGAGCAACGCCGCGUGAGUGAUGAAGGGUUUCGGCUCGUAAAACUCUGUUGUUGGAGAAGAACAGGUGAUAGAGUAACUGUUAUCAUCUUGACGGUAUCCAACCAGAAAGCCACGGCUAACUACGUGCCAGCAGCCGCGGUAAUACGUAGGUGGCAAGCGUUGUCCGGAUUUAUUGGGCGUAAAGCGAGCGCAGGCGGUUUUUUAGGUCUGAUGUGAAAGCCUUCGGCUUAACCGGAGAAGGGCAUCGGAAACCGGGAGACUUGAGUGCAGAAGAGGACAGUGGAACUCCAUGUGUAGCGGUGAAAUGCGUAGAUAUAUGGAAGAACACCAGUGGCGAAGGCGGCUGUCUGGUCUGUAACUGACGCUGAGGCUCGAAAGCAUGGGUAGCGAACAGGAUUAGAUACCCUGGUAGUCCAUGCCGUAAACGAUGAGUGCUAAGUGUUGGAGGGUUUCCGCCCUUCAGUGCUGCAGCUAACGCAUUAAGCACUCCGCCUGGGGAGUACGACCGCAAGGUUGAACUCAAAAGGAAUUGACGGGGGCCCGCACAAGCGGUGGAGCAUGUGGUUUAAUUCGAUGCUACGCGAAGAACCCUACCAGGUCUUGACAUCUUCUGCUAACCUAAGAAGAUUAGGCGUUCCCUUCGGGGACGGAAUGA
Molecule: ribosomal RNA, 1073 nt
Filed under: uncultured bacterium
Lineage: Bacteria
Description: bacterial SSU rRNA
Rfam family: Bacterial small subunit ribosomal RNA
Source: RNAcentral